UAAGUGUAUUUGAUCCAUCAUUCUCUAUGUUUUGUUUAGAUGGUGUCAAACAAAACUGGGAUCAUAGGGACCAGAAUUCAAAUAAACAGAAGUAAUAAGGCUGGGGGAAAAAUUUCUGGACAGUAAACAUGUGUCCUGGACUGCUUCAAGAAUAUCUGUCUCUUGACAGUAGCAAAGUAUCUGCCUUUUGAUAAUGAAGAAAUCUAGGCAAGGACACAGGCAUAAAUGUAAGAGGCAAAUGACAAAGACAAAGAGUUCCAAUACAUCCACGCAAAGAAUUCGAAAAGAAUGUGUCGUUGAUGGCCAGCUAGAUACUACAGGUAACCAGGCUGACAGAGUCAAAGCAGAUAUCAUAGAGAACAUUUUGUGAUCCUGAAAAAGGUCAAACUUUUUAGCAGUAACUUGAUAAUUAAAGGGCAUUUCUUUCUUCAUAGAUUCUGUUUGUCCUGGUAAAAUUUAAAAAGCUAUGAAUCCUUGGACAAGUCUCGGAUCUUAGCAAGAAUUUCAGCAGUCAGCCAAAAAGUGACUAUGAAAUAUUACUCUCUGAUCUGGGGAGUGAUCUGGGGAGCCAUUCUGAAGCACAAGAUAAGAAGGGACCAGACUUUUAAUUGAUCAAAUUUUAAAAGAAAUUAAUUCCAUGAAAAAAUAAUAAAAAAUAAAAUUUAAAAAAAUAAAAAAUAAAC
RNAcentral lists this long non-coding RNA (683 nucleotides) under Phascolarctos cinereus (koala). RNAcentral describes it as "lncRNA (ENSPCIG00000004790.2)". The record is from RNAcentral. Lineage: Eukaryota; Metazoa; Chordata; Mammalia; Diprotodontia; Phascolarctidae.